UAUUUCCUGCUUUGUGCGUUACUUGAUGAUUUUUAAACCCACAGUGCAUUUUCGGGAAUUGGCCUUAAGCUGCGUAUACCAGGCCGCAUGGAUACAUAGCGGAAGGUAGAAACAUUUUAGCCGAUACCCACCUGCGAGAAGCGGGUAUUUUAAAAACGUUAAGCUGACGGCAAAGCGGGUUAACA
Molecule: non-coding RNA, 185 nt
Filed under: Desulforamulus reducens MI-1
Lineage: Bacteria; Bacillati; Bacillota; Clostridia; Eubacteriales; Peptococcaceae
Description: Desulfotomaculum reducens MI-1 6S / SsrS RNA
Rfam family: 6S / SsrS RNA
About the family: E. coli 6S RNA was the first non coding RNA to be sequenced, but its function was unknown until recently. It consists of 184 nucleotides that fold into an extended hairpin structure with a large single-stranded internal bulge. The 6S RNA specifically associates with RNA polymerase holoenzyme containing the sigma70 specificity factor.
Source: Rfam by way of RNAcentral